ACGUACACUCCUGCGGGAGGCAGCAGUGGGGAAUAUUGGACAAUGGGCGCAAGCCUGAUCCAGCCAUGCCGCGUGAGUGAUGAAGGCCCUAGGGUUGUAACGCUCUUUCACCGGUGAAGAUAAUGACGGUAACCGGAGAAGAAGCCCCGGCUAACUUCGUGCCAGCAGCCGCGGUAAUACGAAGGGGGCUAGCGUUGUUCGGAUUUACUGGGCGUAAAGCGCACGUAGGCGGACUAUUAAGUCAGGGGUGAAAUCCCGGGGCUCAACCCCGGAACUGCCUUUGAUACUGGUAGUCUUGAGUGCGAGAGAGGUGAGUGGAAUUCCGAGUGUAGAGGUGAAAUUCGUAGAUAUUCGGAGGAACACCAGUGGCGAAGGCGGCUCACUGGCUCGAUACUGACGCUGAGGUGCGAAAGCGUGGGGAGCAAACAGGAUUAGAUACCCGGGUAGUCCCAUGA
Molecule: ribosomal RNA, 455 nt
Filed under: uncultured organism
Description: partial 16S ribosomal RNA
Rfam family: Bacterial small subunit ribosomal RNA
Source: RNAcentral